This 423-nucleotide ribosomal RNA is filed under the name uncultured bacterium. RNAcentral describes it as "partial 16S ribosomal RNA". It matches the Rfam family "Bacterial small subunit ribosomal RNA", at positions 359 to 774 of the family's 1533-position model. The record is from RNAcentral.
GAAUUUUGGACAAUGGGCGAAAGCCAGACCCAGCAACGCCGCGUGCAGGAUGAAGGCCUUCGGGUUGAAAACUGCUUUUGUACGGAACGAAAAGCUUUGGGUUAAUAACCUGGAGUCAUGACGGUACCGAAAGAAAAAACCCCGGAUAACUACGUGCCAGAAGCCGCGUUAAAACGGAGGGUGCAACCGUUAAUCGGAAGUACUGGGCGUAAAGCGUGCGCAGGCGGUUUUGUAAUACAGGGGUGAAAUCCCCGGGCUCAACCUGGGAACUGCCUUUGUGACUGCAAGGCUAGAGUACGGCAGAGGGGGGUGGAAUUCCGCGUGUAGCAGUGAAAUGCGUAGAUAUGCGGAGGAACACCGAUGGCGAAGGCAACCCCCUGGGCCUGUACUGACGCUCAUGCACGAAAGCGUGGGGAGCAAACA